Long non-coding RNA from Esox lucius (northern pike), 2446 nucleotides. Lineage: Eukaryota; Metazoa; Chordata; Actinopteri; Esociformes; Esocidae. The record is from Ensembl.
UGUUUUUCUCCGUCGUUCAGAGUAGGGCCGAGCCAGGGAUGCAUGCCUGCCUGCCUGCCUGCCUGCCUGCCUGCCUGCCUGCCUGCCUGCCUGCAUAGAGAAACUAGAGCCAGGGCUAACCCUAUCAUCCAGUACCCAGAACACAGCGUGUCUCUGAAUCCAGAAUUGAGGAACAAAGACCGGUAAUGUCCAUGCAAACACUGCCAGAGGGGGAUUUUCCAUCUCUUUUACCGGAGAGGAGGAGUAAGCUACUGACCGUCACAGCAGAGGUGCACCCUCCUCCUCCUUCCUUGAACCUGAGGGAAUUCUCCGAACCACUCCUGGCCCCUGCAACGGUUGCCAGGCCCAGGAUGAUGGACUGUGGCACGAUGACCGCCCCCACUAGUGACUGGUCGCCGGAGAAACUUCAAGAACCUGGGAGAGUGGAGGGAGCUUCCUCCCCUCCGUUCCCCUUCCCCUCCCCUGGUUCUCCUGUUCCCCCCUUUGUCUCCCUCCCCAUUCUAUAUUCUCCUACUAUCCCUCUAACACAGGCACCCAAACCGCAGAGGAAGGUUCGGAGGCUGGAGUCACCCACCUCGGUGAUUCACCACGCUCCCUUGACCAGUGGGGUACAUACUCCACCUCGGGCGGCUACAGAUUGGCAGUCCUGUGAUGAUGAGUCGGAGGAUGAAACGACACGACGGGCAGGGCCUUUUGUCCCUCCUACUUCUGGUGCCCGUGUGAGUCAGGGGACCUCCUCGUCAUCGGAUUCUUCUUCAGAGGAGGACCAACCGCUGGUGGACAAGGACUCAGACAGCCCCAUUCCACCGACCCCUCCGCCGAUGGGACCUGCGGCCCAGGGCACUCCUGCUCUCAACAAACCACGGCUGCCAACAUUGAUGAGGCCUUGCUCCACACCCUCAGUCGUAAUGAUUUGAGAGACCCUUUCCUGGACCAGAACACUUUCUCAGGAGGAAACGAGUAUGGGCUCUUAUUAGCCCAGAGAGUGGACAGAGACCAACAGACCCAGCACAGUGUGGUACAACGGGUCAAAGAGGAGCAACUUGGAUCUAUUAAAUUGCAGUCGGACAUUACAAGGCGGAACGGGAGCUAUCCAAACCUCUCGAGUGGCUGGAGAAAUCUGUUCAUAUAUCAAAGUGGACACAAGCAGACAAAACAACUAAAAUCACAGACCCAGCACAGGGUGGUACGAUGGGCCAAUGAAGAGCAGCUCAAAUAGCGGUCGGAUAUUACAGGACUGGACGGGUGCUUUCCAAACCUACUCCUCACUGUGGGCGGACAGAGUCCCGGUAGCCAUGUAGGGCUGACCAUGUCUGAUUACCUAAUGCUCACUGAACAAUUUAAAGGAUACAUCUAGCCUGUUGUUUCACUAUAAAUCAGGAGGGUGUUUUGAAAGACCUUGAGUUUCCUAGGAGGAGUCUCCCUUGUGUAUAAGAUUAGUUACAGACACUGGGCAGAUCUCAGUGUACACAUUGCAACUGGACCGUAAAUAUGAACCAAACACAGUUUCAAUAUUUUUUAAAGCAACUACUAGGAAGCGAUUAACAGUAUACAAUGGCAGAAGAAUAUUUUGCUACCGGAAACUAUGGAUACGGAGCACAUCACAUUGAUCACAACAUGGCAGACACUUAUAUUACUAGAGGCAACUAUGGACACAGGGAACAUCACAAUGAACAAGAAAUGACAGAAAGAUAUUUUGCUACAGGCAACUAUGGAUAUGGAGUACAUCAUGAUGAACACAAAAUGAACCUAAGAACACAGGAGCCUACAGGUCUCAAGGGAACAUCCUCGCCUGUGCAUAACAUUCGUGAGAGAAUCCGUUGUGAAAAACAGGCUAGUGGCCUGAAUGCUCCUGUUUAUAUGACCCACCCACGUACCAUUGGUCCUCGUGAUGACUCUGGGUAUAAUAGAGACUGGGUUCAGGACAUUAGUAACGCAUCAACGCGGCCACGUGAUACCAACGGUUCCACCUCUAGGCCAAACUUUUCUGCUGGGAAUGCAAUGCGUGGUAUACCUAAACCGUGGGGUUCGCUACCAUCACGGGGUGGCCCUGUUCAACAAGUACCAUAAGACUAGGCUCGAUCGCAUACGUAAUGACACCAACCAAGAACAAGCCAGCGGCAGAAUGCGCGAGCACCAUAUACACCCGAGGAGAGAACAGGAACAACCCAAAAGACUAAAAGCAGUCCCCAGGCGUGAUCCAAAUGUAUCCGGUAACGGCUAUAUCCCACCCAGAGAAGGUGGCAAGUAUGACAAUAACGUACCUUGGCACGGUAAGCCCAGAUCGCAUUUCACUGAGAAACAUGAGAUCAGUCCCGUCAAAGAAACCAUCGACGCUCCCUCACAGUGCAAUUCCUAUGAAGAGAACAGGUGUCCCACGAUCCGUAAAGGUUUUCACAGAAAGAGAGCCUGGAGGUAUUCCAGGCAAGAGUUAGGUGAUAGUACA